RNAcentral lists this ribosomal RNA (377 nucleotides) under uncultured eukaryote. RNAcentral describes it as "partial 18S ribosomal RNA". It matches the Rfam family "Eukaryotic small subunit ribosomal RNA", at positions 592 to 976 of the family's 1831-position model. The record is from RNAcentral.
CAAUAGCGUAUAUUAAAGUUGUUGCAGUUAAAAAGCUCGUAGUUGGAUUUCGGAGCCGACCGGGCGGUCUGUCGAGAGACACGCACUGCUCGGUGGCUCUUCCUCUCGGAGGCCCUGGCUGCCCUUAACUGGGGCGGGCAGGGGAUUCGGGACGUUUACUUUGAAAAAAUUAGAGUGUUCAAAGCAGGCCGGUGCUUGGAUACAUUAGCAUGGAAUAAUGGAAUAGGGCUUGGGUCCUAUUUUGUUGGUUUUCGGGACCGAGGUCAUGGUUAAGAGGGACAGUUGGGGGCAUUCGUAUUCAAUUGUCAGAGGUGAAAUUCUUGGAUUUAUGGAAGACGAACAACUGCGAAAGCAUUUGCCAAGGAUGUUUUCAUUAA